This 489-nucleotide long non-coding RNA is filed under the name Phasianus colchicus (ring-necked pheasant). RNAcentral's name for it is "lncRNA (ENSPCLG00000010494.1)". Lineage: Eukaryota; Metazoa; Chordata; Aves; Galliformes; Phasianidae. The record is from RNAcentral.
UUAUAUAUAUGAGUUUAUGCUUCUAAAAUAUUCUUCUCCCAUCUGAUAAAAUGUGUGUGUGCGUUUACAGGAAAUUGUGGAAACAGUGACUCAUCUCUUCAAUAAUUUACGCAGGAUAAUUUCUUGAAAAGCAAGAUCAGCAGGGACUUUUCCUCUUGAUUGCAGAGGAUUUGGUUAUAUAUUUCUGAAUACUCAGAAAACAAGAAAACCACAGUGAAAAAUGUUAUUGAAAUAAAGCUCAGUCAUGAGGAAGUAUUGGAUUGCCUUGGCAUGUCCUGUUUAAAGCUCUAGGUACCUUGCAUGACUCAGCUGAGUCAUCCAAAGGCCUUACUGUGCAAUACUAAGGUGAUACUCAUGGGUAUAUGCCCCCAGAAGAAAGACACUCAUUAUGAAAUAUCUAACUUCAAAACCACAAGCUGCCUGAAUUUUGUUUUUUUCCUUUUAAUAAACUGCCACAACAUUUAAUUAUCUUUUCUAGCUUGUUUCUUU